RNA transcript from Bufo gargarizans (Asiatic toad), 2607 nucleotides. It is a transcript of the gene named E3 ubiquitin/ISG15 ligase TRIM25-like, with no coding region annotated. NCBI's taxonomy places the organism in Eukaryota, Metazoa, Chordata, Amphibia, Anura, Bufonidae. The record is from RefSeq and is a predicted model, not a curated record. The transcript is spliced from 4 exons.
GCGACAUUUCAUCCCCUAAUCUUUGUACGGACAGAACUUUAUUGUACUGCAGUUUUGUAGGUGAUUUCUCCUCUUCUCCUUACUGGUUCUGGAGGAGGAUUCUCUCUAUGGACAGGAGGAGUCACUACAACUACUCCACCAGGAUCCUCACCAGAUCCCGUCAGUGAUCACUCAUCAUUGUCUUCCUCAGUAUGAAUCAGCAGUAAACACAAUCUCUGAGCUGCAGGGGUUAAUUCCUCUACAGGAGCUCUCCGCCCUCUUAUGAAAAGAGACUUUUCCACUUUCCUGCUCCUCCGUACCACAAUGGCGUCUGCUGAUCUGAAGGCCGAGCUGGACUGCUCCAUCUGCCUGAGCCUUUAUACAGAUCCUGUAUCCCUGAGAUGUGGACACAACUUCUGCCGCUCGUGUAUUGUGAGUGCGCUGGAUGCGCAGGAGGCAGCUGGAGUGUAUUCCUGUCCUGACUGCAGAGCAGAAUAUCCGGAGCGUCCGGCCCUGGAGAAGAACAGGAAGCUGGGGAACAUAGUGGAGCGUUUCUUAUCUGCUCAGCCUGAUAUGGAGGAGACCAGGAUUUUCUGUACUUACUGUACUAAGUCUCCUGUCCCGGCUGUGAGGACAUGUCUGCAGUGUGAGACCUCCAUGUGCCAUAAACAUCUCGGAGCCCAUAACAAGUCAGUGGAUCAUAUAUUAACAGAACCCACCAGAUCCUUGGGCAUCAAAAAAUGUUCCCUCCACAAGAAGGUUCUGGAGUUAUACUGCCCGCAGGAGGCAGCUUGUGUGUGUGUGUUUUGCUGUCUGGUCGGCGAGCACAGGGGACACCAGGUGGAACUUCUAGAUGAGGCGUCUGAGAAGAAGAAGAAGAAACUGAGGACAUAUCUGGAGGAACUAAACCCACAAAAAGCAAAAAUUCAGACUAAACUUCAGAAUCUGCAGGAUCGUCAGAGGAAUAUCCAGGAGAAGGCCUCUGAUAAGAGGAAGAAGGUCAGGAAGUUAUUUAUGGACAUUAAGGAGCAACUGGAAAUGGCAGAAAAGAAAGCGCUGAGCGAGAUCUCCAGGCAGGAGGAGAAGAUUGUGUCCCAGAUAUCUGAUCUGAUCAAGAAGCUGGAAAUAGAGAAGGACGAGCUGUCCAGGAAGAUGCGUCACGUGGAGGAGAUGUGUCAUGUCACCGACCCAAUAAGACUCCUACAAGAAAGUGACAUUACAGUAUGUGGUCAUGGAGAUGAUGAGGACACAGGGGGAGAUGGUGGAGAGGGCAGGUCUGAGGAUGGUCUGGAUGAGGUUCUGAUCUCACUGACCUUACACCGAUCUAUGAGGGAUAUUGUCACCAAUGUCACAUCAGAGCUCGGGCUCCAUGUUCCAGACAUAUUGCUGGAUGAGGACACUGCUCAUAGACGUGUGAAGAUAUCAGAAGAUCUGAAAACAGCAACAAGAACAGAAGAAGAACAGAACAGACCAGAAUCACCAGGAAGGUUCCUGGAUCGGUCCCAGGUGUUGAGCAGAUGUGGCCUCUCCUCAGGAAGACAUUACUGGGAGUUUGCUGGUGAUUUGAUUGCCCAAAAUUGUGACCAUGCCAAAGUGGAACGUUGAAAAGCUGAUAACUUUGGUGCAGGAGAGGCCUGAAUUAUGGGACAGCAGGCUCAACGUCUAUCAGGACAGAGUCAGAAAGGAUGUCUCCUGGGAGAAAGUGGCCAGGUCCAUGAGGCGCGUGGAAUGGCAAAAAGCCGAUGCCAGAGGCCGGGCAGAUUUAGUGAAACAAACAAAGACUCGGUGGAACAGCUGCCGGGAUCAGUUCCGCCGGGAACUGAAUGAGCGGGGAUGAAGUGGCGAUGGGGGUGCCUGAAAAAGGCCAUAUAUAUACACCGCGCAAUUGGAGUUUCUGAAGCCGGUGAUGGAUUUGAGGCCUACUGUGGACAGCUUGGAAGACGAUCCGGAGGAUUCGGAUGCUGGUGGGAGUGAAACUCCGGCAGUUUUCUCACCGGAAAGCAGCCCCACCCAUCCCCAGGCUGAGGAGCCACAACAACCACCUCUGGAGCCGCCAACCCUUUUACAGGGGACCCAGGAAACAACCCAGCAGCCUCAUCCAAGGCGGAGACGCAAUGUCCCUCAGGCUUCCUCGGCACCAGAUACGAGGGAACAAAUAGACGCCAGAGUGAUAGAAUUCCUGGCCAAGAGGAGGAGUGAGGGCCCGGAAGAAGCCGUGGUGAGGGGGCUGGGUCCUUUACUCAGGGGCGUCCCUGCCCACCGAUUGAGCCCUUGCGUGGCGGGGAUUGCCAUGUUAAUAGAGCUGUUCUCCUCCCCCUACGAGGAAGAUAUUGUCUCCGAGAUCUACCACGUGAGACGCCGGAUACUUGCGGCACGCGCUCAACAUGUUUCCGGCCAAAGUCAACCCCAACCCUAUGGCCCACCUGUACCUGGCCCAUCUUACCAGGUGGCCCCAGAAUCCAGCCGGCCAGCUUCACAAUACUUUCCACAGGCUGCCACCUAUGCCACUGCCCCACUGCCACAGCAACAGCAGAGGCCUGGCAGUUCUUUCCAGCCUGGUCCCUUCACCAGGGAUUUGUUCGACCUGUAAUUUGGUCUUCUAAUGUUUUUAUUUUAUAUUUAUUGAAU